This 201-nucleotide small RNA is filed under the name Drosophila willistoni. RNAcentral describes it as "GK27216". Lineage: Eukaryota; Metazoa; Arthropoda; Insecta; Diptera; Drosophilidae. The record is from RNAcentral.
GCACUGUUCGAGUGUCUAAUGCAGUGAAACGAAAAAUGAUCUAGAUCGAUUCUUGAUUGGGAUGAUACCAACUUAUGAAGAGACUCAUUGGUGAGCAUGCAGAUUCAUCUGAAAAAAGCGCUGUAUUUGCGACCGUUUCGGGCAUUAUCGACCUAUCCGACAGGGAGCUAGUACGAUUUCGACGAAACAAAGUGCGCCAUU